GAUUAAGUUAUUAAGGGCGCACGGUGGAUGCCUUGGCACUAGAAGCCGAUGACGGACGUUACUAACGACGAUAUGCUUUGGGUAGCUGUAAGUAAGCGUUGAUCCAGAGAUUUCCGAAUGGGGGAACCCAGCAUGAGUUAUGUCAUGUUAUCGACAUGUGAAUU
This 164-nucleotide ribosomal RNA is filed under the name Staphylococcus epidermidis. RNAcentral's name for it is "partial 23S ribosomal RNA". It matches the Rfam family "Bacterial large subunit ribosomal RNA", at positions 1 to 164 of the family's 2925-position model. Lineage: Bacteria; Bacillati; Bacillota; Bacilli; Caryophanales; Staphylococcaceae. The record is from RNAcentral.